UGACAUUAAAAUUUUAAAUCAAAGAUAUUGAUCUUGUUUUAUAUAGUAUAAAGAAUUUUCUAUCAAAAUUUCAUGUGAUUUGGAUAUUUCUACACCGUUAAACUUGCAAACGGCUCACUACGGCCAUUGAAAUUUGUUGAUUUUGAGCCCAUUCAAUUACUAGGCAAAUGAUAUCGAAAAAUAAUAAAAUUUAUUUUCUAGGUACUCCAAAUACUCUAGAUCAAGUUUAACGGAGCCGAUCGACGAUUCGAAAGUUGCAACAUCGAAAACGAGCUGGAAGCAAGAAAGGCUCCGUACUUCCAAUAGCAUAGUAGUCU
Molecule: long non-coding RNA, 317 nt
Filed under: Ananas comosus (pineapple)
Lineage: Eukaryota; Viridiplantae; Streptophyta; Magnoliopsida; Poales; Bromeliaceae
Description: long non-coding RNA (ACOM_LNC016042)
Source: RNAcentral